AGGACGAACGCUGGCGGCGUGCUUAACACAUGCAAGUCGAGCGGAAAGGCCCUUCGGGGUACUCGAGCGGCGAACGGGUGAGUAACACGUGAGUAACCUGCCCCUAGCUCCGGGAUAGCUCCGGGAAACCGGAAUUAAUACCGGAUGUGAGUCACGGCCGACAUCGGCCACGAUGGAAAGAUUUAUCGGCUAGGGGAUGGGCUCGCGGCCUAUCAGCUUGUUGGUGGGGUAAUGGCCUACCAAGGCGACGACGGGUA
This 257-nucleotide ribosomal RNA is filed under the name uncultured bacterium. RNAcentral describes it as "partial small subunit ribosomal RNA". It matches the Rfam family "Bacterial small subunit ribosomal RNA", at positions 26 to 285 of the family's 1533-position model. The record is from RNAcentral.